This 69-nucleotide transfer RNA is filed under the name Rattus norvegicus (Norway rat). It matches the Rfam family "tRNA". From Rfam's summary of the family: Transfer RNA (tRNA) molecules are approximately 80 nucleotides in length. Their secondary structure includes four short double-helical elements and three loops (D, anti-codon, and T loops). The record is from Rfam by way of RNAcentral. Lineage: Eukaryota; Metazoa; Chordata; Mammalia; Rodentia; Muridae.
GGGGAUUUAGCUUAGUGGUGGAGCACUUGCCUAGCAAGCGCAAGGCCCUGGGUUCGAUCCCCAGCUCCA